Molecule: long non-coding RNA, 8145 nt
Filed under: Marmota monax (woodchuck)
Lineage: Eukaryota; Metazoa; Chordata; Mammalia; Rodentia; Sciuridae
Source: RNAcentral
GACCAUUCCACCAAGAGGAACUCUAUUUUUACCACCUGCAGUUUUGAAUUCAUGAUCCUCUUGCCUCAGCCUCCUGACUCACUGGGAUUACAGGCCUGAAUCCCUGAGGUGGGCUCUUGAUUGCUCUUUUUAUUUAGCACUUUUUAUUCUCAUCCCAUCUUUGUUUUGGAAACUAAAGUGAAUCUGAUGUAGACAGCAGAAUAAUUUGGUUGGAUUCUAGGUCUUAUACCCAAGGGUGCCUUAACACUGGGCUACACACCCAGCCACUUUUUAAUAUUAUUAUAUUUUAUUUUCAGACAGUGUUAUGCUAAGUUGCUGAUGCCAGCAUGAAACUUGUGAUACCCUAGAUCAGUCUCACAAGUAGCUUAGUGACAGCAUUGUGCCACUGUGUCCAGAUGAUGAUGAUUUAGACAGGCUCUCCAUAAGUCACCGAGUUUGCCCUCCAACGUGCAGUCCUCUUACCUCAGCCUCCUGAGUUUCUAGGGUCACAGAGGUGUGCUGCAUGCCCAACUUGAUGAAUAUAUUUCUAAAAUUGGAACUAAUUGGAUCUAUAUGCAGUAAUAGUAAUGAAAAAAGUAAUAGUAAUGAACAAAGUGCUUCUAUGUUGCCACUUGUUUUCUACCUGUAUGUUUUUGGUUUAUCAAUUUUCCCAUUAUUGCUUAUUCAUUCAUAUUUCCCAUUAUUCAUUUUUCUUGUGUACCAUUUUUAUUUUAUUUUCUUCUUUUGGCACAUGUUUUAGUUUUACCUUAGCGAUUGUGCUGGGAGCUCUAACAUCUUAAACUUAUGACAAUCAGUUUUUAUUCAUGCCAAAUUAGUUUCAAUUGUAUAGAAAAAUUUUGCUAAUCUUACAGAUUUGUCCCUCAGUUCUGGUUUUUAUCUUUGUCUUAGACUAUAACUUCAUGCAUCGUGUAUCUUCUAUGGCUUGGAUAGCAUUUUUCCCCAAACAGGCUUAUGUUCUGGACACUUUGUUCUCAUUGUGGUAGAACUGAGGCAGGGGAACCUUUCAAAUGUGCUGUCUACUGGGCAUCAAUUAAGUCAUUGGGGAAACCACCCUCAGGAAGAAUGGACGCUAGUCUCUUGGAAUGAGUUUAUGAGAAAAUGAGUUGUUAUGAAAAAUCAAGACUGCCCCUCUCUGCUCUGUGGCUCAUAUUGGUACAUAUGAUUUUUCCUCUUCCACUUGUCCCCACUCUGAUGACAGCCACCAUGCUGGAAUAGCUCAAAGUGCAUACUCCCCAGAAGCCAAGUGGAUGGCAUCCCUUUAUCUUGGACUCUCAGACCCUAAAAUUCUGACCUAAAGGACUUUUUAAUCACAAACUACUCCGCCUUAGGUAUUUCCUGAUAGCAAUAAAAGAAUGGAGUCUUAUAGUCAUUCAGCAUCAAUGUUUGUUUGGUUCUAAAUGUUAUUUUUGUGUUGUAAGUGUUAUUUUAGCACCCAUUUAUUUUUUUAAAAUUUUUUAAAUUUUAUUUUUUUAAAUACACAACAGUGGAAUACAUUGCAAUUCUUAUUACACAUAUAGAGUACAAUUUUUUACACUUAUAUUUUUAAAACCAAUAGAAAAGAGUUAGAAACUAAAUACUCCAUGGCACUGGCUAUACUUAGCUACCAUAUAGAGCUACUGAGCUACAUCUACCAUUAUUUCUCAUUAUUUUAUGUGGACUUAAUUUUCUGUCUUUUAUCAUUUCCUUUAACCUUGAUGGCUCUAUUGGCAUUUCUGGAAGAAUUGUCUACUCACCACAAACAUUUCCUUGCACAAAUCUCCCCUUAUCUUUUGAAGCACAGUUUAGCAAGGUAUAAAAUUCUUGAUGGUUAAACAACAAGUUUCAUCAUGUCCUCCCACUGCCUUCCAGCUUCUUGGAUUCUCCAGGGAAACCCACUAAUGCUGUCUUGUACCUGAACAACUGUUUCUCUCUGACCACUCACAAGAUUGCCUCUUGGUAUUUGUUUUACAGAAAUUCUUCUUCAUAGUUCCUCUUAUCCAUGGUUUCCCUUUCUGUAAGCUUUAGAAAAUUCCAGAAUGAGCAACUCAUGAGUUUUAAAUUGCAAAGUGUUCUGAGGAGCAUGAUGCAAUCUCCCCCCACCCCACCCCAGCCCUCCAGGGCACAGGCCUCUGCCUUCUCCAGUAGUUUCCCAGUUGAUAUACUGUUUCUGGAAUAACUUCCUGUUAGUGGCUAGUUGCCAUCUUUGUUGAGAGACUGACUGUCGUGAUAGUGCUCCACUGUGUAGAAGAGAACAUCUCUCCAAUUACUCAUGCACCACAUUCUGUUUGUGCCCAUGUUGCAGUGUUAGCACUUGGAUCCUAAGAAUAGAAGACACACCUUGAGCCUCUCCUAAGGGAAAACAUGAUUUCCCAUGAGACUCUGACCCAAGAAGGUGAGAUAUGUUUAAUACGUUUAGGACGAACCUCUUUCAUAAAUAACCUCAAGAGAAAGUACAAGUGACUGGGAAGUCUAUCCUACUUCAUUGUAAUGCUAAAAUGUCCACCAGGAAGGAAGUUGAACCUCGUUUCCAUAGUGUAUGGUUGUAUGCCAAAGUGUCCUUAAGAAUGGCUCCUGUGUAACCAAGGCAGUCCAGUGCAUGCCUAACUCCCAGGAUUGAACCUGAUUUCAUCUGACAACACAAGGUAACCACUCCCUCAAUGCCACCAUGAUCUGAGGGAUGAGGUAUCAGUCCCUGGGCAUAACGAGGAGCCAGUGGAGGCCCUUGUUCUCUCCAAAAGGAAAAUGCUAUAGUCGUCAUCCAUGGGAGAAUUUAAGCCUCAUUCUCAUACCAUGUAAUGCAGGCAGAAGCACAUAUUUCUCAUGAUCCUGGGCUGACAUUUCUCAACCUCCACUGAUUACUUGGCUGUGAGAGUUUGAAAGCUUCUUAGAAGGAAUUUUAGUGGUCAAUUCUGCUCAUUAUUUAUUUAACUAUUUGUGGCACCAGUGAUUGAACUCAGGGCUGCUUAACCACUGAGCCCCAUCCACAGCCCCCCCCCCCUUUAAAGAAUAUAUACUUUAUUUAGAGACAGGGUCUCACUGGGUUGCUUAGUCCUGACUAAGUUUCUGAGGCUGACUUUGAACUCACGAUCCUCCUGCCUCAGCCUCCCAAGUUGCUGGGAUCAUGGGCAUGCACCGCUCUGCCUGGCUCAGUUAAUUUUCCUUAAUGAUAAAAAUAAUGAUUGUUUCGAUGAUAAUGGUUGAAGUCAAAAAGUCAGAGAGAAGUUGUUUUUGAUUUGUUUUUUGGUCCCCACCAGUUUAAGCAAGAGCCAGUAAAGGUCCGUACCAGUGCUGGAUGAGAAGAGAGUUGCAGAAAAACUUCCAUGUGAAUGAUUGCAAGUAAUAGAAUGGACAGCUGGCCAAGACAAGGAGUCAAAGGCCACUUCAAUGUUCUUGGUGACAAAAUGUGAGAAUCCAGAUUUAAAAAGAAAAACACAAGUUUGUGGGAGGAUAAAAGUGAAGACUUAGUCCAGCAGUGGAGAUGUCUUGCAGUUUCCAUUGAGCAUAGGUGGGAGACUUGUUCCAGGCCAGCAAUCCCCAAAGCAUUGCCAAGUGCAUCAAUUUAUGUAUACAGUUUGCAGACAGCCUGCUCACCUCCUCCUGUAAGUUAAAUGAUCUCUGGGUCACUAGUACAAUUUGCUAAAGGCCUGGGGCUGGGGCUCAGUGGCAGAGCACUCUCCUAGCACUUGUGAGGCACUGGGUUUGAUCCUCAGCAACACCUGGAAAUAAAUAAAUAGAAAAAGGUAUUGGGUCCAUCUACAACUAAAAAUAUUUUUUUAAAAACUGGUACAAAGUAACCGCUAUGUAAGUAGCCGUUAUGCCAUUGUCAUUACUUGGGAGAAAGUCUGAACAUUUACUUGGUACACGAGCAACUCAUUUUCAAAUCCUUCCCAUCCCCCAGGGUUUGAGACUUUGGGUGCAGAAUCCAGGCAUAUGGCCACAGGUAUUUCCAAUCCCUGGAGAACACCCAGGGCAGGUUGUCUGGAAAAGGUUUUGAAAUAUGUUGUAGGAAUUCCAAUAACAUCUGGCCCAGAGAGAGAGGCAAGUAGAGGGUCAGAGAUGGCACCUGGGAAAGCAGGGGUGACAGGUGGAGCCUUGAGUGUUGGGGUGGCAAAGAGGACAGGCAGAACCUCUGGGGACACAGGGGCGUGGGCAGAUGUUGAGACGGGGAAACACUUAAUGCUUGGGGAAGCAGAUGGAGAAAAAAAGACGUCACCGUUAAUAAAAUAAAAAAUGGGGACAGAAUAGAUUUAGAAGCUCAGAAAGUCUUGACCUUCAAACUCCUCCUCCAUUCCAGAAGAUUGCAUUCCCCUUUCAGAGCAGAACCCACAGUGGGUUUUUUUGUCUUUGUUUUUGUGUUUUUUAGAAAACUGAUAAAAUGUUCACUGGUUUUGAAAAUGAUUUAUGGCCCUUGAAUAAGGUUUUCUCGAGUUUCUGGCCACACAGUAUUGGUCUCUACUUUUUUCCAUUUUCAAUGAAUAUCUAACACCUGGCCUACCAGUGGGUACUACAUUUUAUAAGCCAGUGAUGGUAUUUUUAAAAUGCAAAAUUAUUAGGGAACUCUAUGGGGUGAUACAUAAUUGAUUCUCAAAGGUGCAGCUCAUCCCUGCCUUGAUCUAUCUAUCUAUCUAUCUGUCUGUCUGUCUGUCUGUCUGUUUUCAGUGCUGGUGGCGGCUCUACCACUCAGCUACACACUGAUAGUGAUGGAUGGGUAGCAUGCAGACGUGAUUGAUGGGGUCAUGCAGGUCAGGGAGUCAUUCUGUGAACUUGGCCCACUGUGCAGACCCCCACUUUUCUUUUAGAAAAGUAAUUUACCUAGAGCCCUGCCUUGGCCAAGUCAAUGUGCUAUAUUCCACUCCUCAGCCAACAACCUGUGGUUUCUGUGAGCAGUGAUUUCUUCUCUACCAGUGAGAACACAAGUUAACCUGGAGGGGACAAGUUCUGGGACACUUUCACAGACCAGAUUCCAGAACUCAAGGAGAUAGGAUGAUUGCUCCUGACCAUCAAAUAUGUAAGAACCGUUCCAGACUAGCGUGGGCAAAGUGACCUAGAGUUGUCCUGGAUCUUGGCAUGUCAACUCCUGUUCCUGUCACUAGUGUGCAUCUGCUGACUAGUAUUUCUAUCUGGUAUUAGUUUAUUUAAAGACAUAGGGAAGGGACAGAGGGACACUCUCAAGAGGGAGUGUCCUCUCAGGUAGUAUGAUGUGCCCCUAUUUUCCUACUGGUCCCAGAAAAUCUCCAAUUAGGACUGGUCAGUGCAGAGCAAGGUGACUUGAGAGUUGCAUUUGUAUAUUUAGAAUGUCAUCUUAAACUUUUAUAAUAAGUUUUUUCUAUUGAUUUUUUAAAAAACUAAAUGACAGCAGAAUGCAUUACAAUUCUUAUUACACAAAGAUAGCACAAUUUUUCAUACCUCUGUUUGUUUAUAAAGUAGGUUGAGGGCUGGGGAUGUGGCUCAAGCGGUAGCGUGCUCGCCUGGCAUGCGUGCGACCCGGGUUCGAUCCUCAGCACCACAUACAAACAAAGAUGUUGUGUCCCCCGAAAACUGAAAAAUAAAUAUUAAAAUUCUCUCUCUUUAAAAAAAAUAAAGUAGGUUGACACCAAUUUGUGUCUUCAUACAUGUACUUUGGAUAAUGAUAACUACCUCAUUCCACCACCCUUGCUAACCUCCAGCCCCCUCCCUUCCCCUCCCACCCCUCUGCCCUAUCUAGAAUUCAUCUAUUCCUCCCAUGCUCCCCCUCCCUACCCCACUAUGAAUCAGCCUCCUUAUAUCAGAGAAAACAUUCAGCAUUUGUUUUUUGGGGGAUUGGCUAACUUCACUCAGCAUUAUCUUCUCCAACUCCAUCCAUUUACCUGCUAAUGCCAUGAUUUUAUUCUCUUGUUGCUGAGUAACAUUCCAUUGUGUAUAUAUAACGCAUUUUUUUAUCCAUGCAUCCACUGAAGGGCAUCUAGGUUGGUUCCACAGUUUAGCUCUUGUGAAUUGUGCUGCUAUAAACAUUGAUGUGGCUGUGUCCCUGUAGGUUGCUGUUUUUAACUCCUUUGGGUAUAGACUGAGGAGAGGGAUAGCUGGGUCAAAUGGUGGUUCCAUUCCCAGAUUUCCAAGGAAUCUCCAUACUGCUUUCCAUAUUGGCUGCACCAAUUUGCAGUCCCACCAGCAGUGUAUGAGAGUACCAUUUUCCCCACAUCCUCGCCAACACUUAUUGUUGUUUGUCUUCAUAAUAGCUGCCAUAAUAAAAGUUUUACUACAGUGAAAUUCUCUCUCUCUCUCUCUCUCUCUCUCUCUCUCUCUCUCUCACACACACACACACACACACACACACUUGGGUUUUUCUUUGGUGUCUCUGGACAGGACCAUGUGGCUUAGGAACCUACAAAUGCGAUGUCAUCCUACUGCCAGUUAAGAACUAGGACUUGGUCCAUGGCAGGCCUCUGCAAUCACCCACAGCAUCUCCCAUAAACUUGAGGAGCAAAGAGGGAGUGAGGCCUAGAGAUGUCAGAGAAGCCUUACUGUUUUCCUCCCUCCCUCUUGAUAGUGAUUCUAAACUUUGCUCUACUUUGAUCACAUUUUAUGUAUUAUUUAGAAUCCUCUCUUGCAAGAACACAAGAGCCAAGAAACACCACCUAACCUCCAUAUCCCUGGGAUCACGACCAGCCACAGUGUCAGAUCUUUUAUUGCUUUAGUUAUUUACUCACUUCAUUUGAUCUAUUUAUUAAUACAGGUGGGCACCACCAACGCUCUGGGUCCUGUUGGAAGGCAGCAGUCACACACCGACACACAGCAUCCUAAGGUAAGAAGACGGCAAGCCAGCAACACAGAACAUCAGAAAGGAAUGAUGAAUUUGUGUCCACGGGACUGAGAGCGUGAGUCUGAAGAUGGUGCUAAGGUGUUUCAAUAAGCUAAUGCUUCCCAGGGGGGCACGUGGCUCCUGGAGCUCGCUGCAAUAAAGACGCAGGUGGAGAUGAUGCUGUUGACCAAAGCAAGAGCCAGGCCCGAGAAAAUGGCCGAGAUCACGCUUCUGCUCCUUGCCCAGGUGCUUUGUGAACCGUGUUCUGAACUAACCACGAGAACCUACUGAUAUGUGUCAAGGUGACAUGAUCAGGGAGACUGUGGAGACAGGAACUCUGACCCUCGGUUGUUCAUGAAGACUCACCCAAUAUCAGAGCUUUGAAUAUUUGAUUUUGAGGCAGGGUCUUGCUAAGAGGCCAACUGUGGCCUCCGACUUGAGAUCCUCCUGCAGCAGCCUCCCAGAUGCCUGGCUUUGCAGACAUGUGCUACCAAACCUUGUCCUUUGCUUAUAGGGCAGUGUUUUCAGGACGGAAGUCUUCAGAGAAUGCUCAUUAUUAGAUUUCUAUUUUUACUUAUGUAUUUGGCCAUGGACUCAUAUGGUUUUUGCAGGGAUCCACAAACGUGGUCCACAAUCCAGCAGAUUUCAGAAACUUUUCACAUUGACAGCUAUUUUCAAAUAGUUGCAUUCUGAUUGAGGCACAUUUGACCAAGGGUAAACAGUAAGAUGCCUUUAAAGUGCUUGUGAAUUUUCCUGGCUAGAAUAUUGCAGAGGGUUUUGCCAGUUUUCUCACCACUUUGUUUAUCUCAUUGGUGUGGAAAAACCUCUCAGAUGCAAGGACUGCACCCCAGAGGCAAGCUCCUGCAGCUGGCCACCCACAGGCCCCCACACCCACUGAUCCAAUUCUCUGUCCCCUGUUAAUUGGGUGUCAGGUGCUGUUGGAUUGUUAAUUAUUGGGUAAAACCCAGUGUUUUGCCCCCAAGGAGCCCAAGGUCUAGCUUGUUGGUUAUUGGAACCACUGGGUUGGUUAUUCACUUUUCCUUGCCUCUCAAGACAAAUCUGAGUUCCAUGCAGGGACCUAUGUCUAGUGGCACUGGUAGCUUAGGAAAAUCUCUCAUUGUGGUGAAGAAAACUAACAGCAAGAAUAAUUAAUCAUUUCCCUCAUGGGGGAAGGGGGUUCUGGCCUCAGAGUGUCCCUGGCUCUUUCCCUCUUCUCAGCCACAUAAUCUUCUCCUCAUCCUGGGCAAGACAACUGUGUACUGCUCAUCCCUGGAAUCCUGGGCAUGUGGCUUGACCUUCUCAGUUUUCCUUCGAGAGAAAUGUUCCCAUUUCACAAAUGCAGGUCCCCCAAAUACCUGGGCUGCUGUCACUGAGAAAAAGAAAAAAAU